Long non-coding RNA from Sardina pilchardus (European sardine), 728 nucleotides. RefSeq lists it as uncharacterized. The record is from RefSeq and is a predicted model, not a curated record. NCBI's taxonomy places the organism in Eukaryota, Metazoa, Chordata, Actinopteri, Clupeiformes, Clupeidae. The transcript has 3 exons.
AAAAUGAAAUCUCACUAUUGCUCAUCUUAAUGAAUCCUUUUUCGUAGGAUUUACACAAUAAAAUUAGGUUUCUAGGUGAAAAGGAGUCAGUUAUACGAAAUGCAUUCGUGUUUGGAGGAAAUAUGUCACUCUAUGGUCGCCGUAGAAGCAUUAUUUCAAAACGCACAAACGAGGGUCUCUGGCUGUGGCAGGUCUGCCUCUUCUCCCUCACUCGUGGAUUGUAAGACGUGGGAGUGCAGAGUGCAAGACAUCAGCGUCAUUGAGGUCUCUCUUACAGAAGCAUUACAGAUGUGCAGAAUUUCACACGCAUUGUGCAACUGAAGUCCAAGUUUAUGCCAGAACUUGACAUCUGCUCCAGGCUGUCUGCUGAGUGCCAUAGGAAGGGAGGAGAAACAAGACAUAAGAUUAAGGAGAUCAUGGCUGCCAUUGAUCGGGUUAGUGAGAAGUUGUUUUGUGCCUCCCACUUUGAAAACCAAUAUUAGGCCAUGAGCUACAGGGCCGUAACAUGCACCUGUCAACGAAACAUUUUUGACCAUGCUGACAUGACGAAUUUGAAUGUUAACAUUUACAUUUUUGGGUUGCACUACCUGUUUCUACCCCAUGAAUAGAUUUGCAUUGAAGAUCAAUGUGUUCCAAAAAAUCUCUCAAUACAUUGGAAAUGCAUUAUAUGAACCUCUACAUGUGAUUACGUAAACACACCUUGUCACAUGCCCCACCUCUCUCUAAGU